AAAGUUUCCUUCGGGAAACGAGUAAAGUGGCGAACGGGUGAGUAACACGUAAGAACCUGCCCUCGGGACUGGGAUAACAUCGCGAAAGCGGUGCUAAUACCGGAUAACAUCUACGGAUCAAAGGAGGCUCUGCUUCCACCUGAGGAGGGGCUUGCGCCCCAUUAGCUUGUUGGUAAGGUAACGGCUUACCAAGGCUACGAUGGGUAGCCGGCCUGAGAGGGUGUACGGCCACACUGGAACUUAGACACGGUCCAG
This 255-nucleotide ribosomal RNA is filed under the name uncultured bacterium. RNAcentral describes it as "partial 16S ribosomal RNA". It matches the Rfam family "Bacterial small subunit ribosomal RNA", at positions 70 to 334 of the family's 1533-position model. The record is from RNAcentral.